GAUUCGGUAUAAAGAAGGAGAGAAGGGUGACCAGUGGGCUGCCUUGUGCCUGGGUCUGAAGAGAAGAGGAAGAAAGAGGGGAGUCUGAUGGACAAAGCUCUGUGGAGGACGUGGCACUGAGCAGAAACUUGAAACAGAGCUUGACUGGCUGGCAGGAUGAGAAGAAUGGACUCUUGGCUGAAGGGGAAGCAAGCACAAGCACAUAGAGAUGAGGAAGCAUGGGUGGUGGUAUAUAGGGU
Molecule: long non-coding RNA, 239 nt
Filed under: Homo sapiens (human)
Lineage: Eukaryota; Metazoa; Chordata; Mammalia; Primates; Hominidae
Description: non-protein coding lnc-KCTD6-8:1
Source: RNAcentral